Astyanax mexicanus (Mexican tetra) is the source of this 1726-nucleotide long non-coding RNA. RefSeq lists it as uncharacterized. The transcript is spliced from 3 exons. The record is from RefSeq and is a predicted model, not a curated record. NCBI's taxonomy places the organism in Eukaryota, Metazoa, Chordata, Actinopteri, Characiformes, Acestrorhamphidae.
GAGAGAGAGAGAGAGAGAGAGAGAGAGAAGAACGAGCCAGAAACCCCUUAAACAUGACGUUUUCUGGAGUAUUAUGACCAGAGCCUACCUGGAAUCAUAAGGAGCAAGGCAGACCGUGAGCCAAUCCAUCACUGGCUACCACAGACACUGACUGCUUCUGGCAGAUUCUGCUGAAUGUCUAACGAAAGAAGCUUUUGCCCUCGCCUGACAGUCUGCAGUUCACACAGCAUUUAUCUUCAUGACACUGAAGUCAGCGAUGCCUCUGCGCCUGAUGAGGAUGGGUAUCAGGUAAGAGAGGUCGAAGAUAUAAGAUACUCUGGAUGAGAAUCUUUUUUGACUGCUCCUUUCACAUUCACAGGACCAGGCUGUGAAUCGACCUACUUACCUUUUCACAUAAGCUUGACUUCAGUGAGAGAAAUGGUCUGUAACAUCCUUUGAUAAAAGUCAGGGAGCUGAAGGCAUUUUGUGUAGACUAGCUUAAGUUUGAAACUUCACCAUUGAGCUGAAUACUCAAAUGAUUUAUUCAUGUUUAUGCUUCAGAUUUGGACAGAACUGUAGACUGGUCAUGAAAAUUGUUUGCCCAGAGAUUUCAUUAGCCUGCGCUGCAAAAACAAACAUGCUCUUUUCCCAGUUUUUCAAACACAGUGCCAAAAAAAAAUGCUGCUGACUAUAUAUAUAUUCUGUUUUUAAAACAGUGAAGCAUUAUACUCUCAACUUACAACAACACUAUGAGGUAGCUCAGUGACACAGCCAAACAUGAUAACAUCUGCAAAGUGGCAUAUUGGAGAGAACUACCCUUGACAUUUCUUUGGCUUGAACACACUUACACUGGGAAUUACAUGGGAAUUAUGUUGUAAUUCUGAACUAGACUGGAAUUGAUGUUUUUGGCGUGAUCAUACAUAUCUGAUCCAUAUUGUUUUGAUCCUGCUUGGAGGAAACAAUCCCAGUGGACAGUUAUAGCUUAGUUUCCAGGGAUGAUAAUUGAUGAUAAUUAUUUAAUUUGAUGAGAGUGGGUUUGAAAGGAAGACAUGGAAGACAAAUUGUCAAAAUGCCAGUGUUUGCUUUGCUCUUACAGUGUCAUUCAGCAGCCCCAGCAGGAUUCCAAGAACUGUUAUUACAAAAACAACUAUAAAAUCAGCCAUUUUUCAUUCAUCAGGGUGAAUUCUUAACUACAUUUUUCAGAUAAAACAACUAGAACAACUUAAAUUAAUUGCAGAAACGAAUACACCCUACAUGCAAUAAAUUGUCUACUAGUAAAUGCUCUGGGGCAAAAAUUUGGGAUAGCAGACAAAAUGUGUCUUAGAAUAUGCCUGGGUCCUCAUUAUUUUCAAUAAACAUAUCAAAAGAUAGACACUUGAUUACAGUCCCUAUUAUUUGUGAUUGUUUAUAUAUAUACACCAAACAUGCACAACAUUAUGACCAGCUCCUUGUUUCUACACCCAUAAUCAAUUUUGUCAGGUUCGUUGAACAUGUUUAACUUUGUAGUCCUGUAUCUGUUUCUCUACAUACUUUAUUAUUUUCUUCCUUUCACCCUGUUCUUUAAUGGUCGGAACCCCAUAGGAUAGAACCACUACAGAGCAGGUAUUAUUUGUGUGGUGGGUAAUUCUCAGUGACACUGACAUGGUGCUGGUGUGUGUUGUGCUGAGGGUAUGAGUGGAUCAGGCACAGCAGUGCUGCUGGAGUUUCUCAGUAUCACUGCUGGACUGAGAGUAGUCCACCAAGAGUA